Phasianus colchicus (ring-necked pheasant) is the source of this 404-nucleotide long non-coding RNA. NCBI's taxonomy places the organism in Eukaryota, Metazoa, Chordata, Aves, Galliformes, Phasianidae. The record is from Ensembl.
GAGGACCAGAAAUCUUGAGUGUCUGAAGCAAUUUGCAUCAAUUAUUUCCCAAGUUACCAGUCACAAGUGAAAGCCCUUGCCUGAGUGCCUCCAUUAGCCAGGUGUCAGAGCUCUCUCUGUUUUCAUUUCAGGUUUUUUGCUGGGAACAGGGUGUGUGCAGGCUGAAAAGCACUGAGGAGGAACUGAGGCCAUGGCUGAUCCUGGGGGGUGCCCAGAGCAGCUCUGCAGGCGAGGUUAGUGCCUUUGCUCCUCUGUCAUCACCAGUCCCUGAGAGCAAUCACCACCCACCAACAGUUCCUCAAGAUAAGACUGAGCCAGCUGGGAGAAGAAAUCCUUUGAUAUUUCCCUGCCUCACUGACUGCAUUUUUCACAGCUCACAUCUCAGAGAGGACCUGCAAAGAUGA